UAUGGUUUGAUUUGGUUUUGGUGUCCUAUUUCUUCAUAAAUUUUGGUAAAUUUUUAAAAUUUCAUAUUAAAGCAAAAUGCAUAGACUAAUAUGGCAAAUACAAUUUUUCUUCUUUCUUAUCUCUUUUUUCUUCAGGUUAAAGGUGUGACAGAUUCAAAAUUCUACAUUCCAAGAAUAACCCCCAGUGCCCGUCAACUUCUUUUGAGAACCAAUCAACCUGGCAACUUGUGGAAGUGAGGAAUAUGAAAGUGAAGGAACCAGUUAGUUAGAAAGCAGCAACCAAUGGAAGGACCUAGAGUUAGAAGUAUGGCAAGCUGAGAACCUUGUGAAAGUCAAAGCUAUCAUGGACUGAAAACACUGAGUUAGCAGACAGAGCUGAUUAGAAGAGAGAAGAGAUUUCAACUCAGAAAAAAAAAUUCAGAUACACAAUGAGAAGUUACUGGACAACCUGUACAGCUACUUGGGUUCCUGAUACUUUUCUGUUGCUAUUUAUUCUGUCAAUAAAAAU
Molecule: long non-coding RNA, 508 nt
Filed under: Canis lupus familiaris (dog)
Lineage: Eukaryota; Metazoa; Chordata; Mammalia; Carnivora; Canidae
Description: lncRNA (ENSCAFG00000033001.3, ENSCAFG00845003628.1)
Source: RNAcentral